CACCGGCAGCUCUAGUGGUAACAAUUUUUAUUGGGCCCUAAAGCGUCCGUAGCCGGUUUAAUAAGUCUCUGGUGAAAUCCUGCAGCUUAACUGUGGGAAUUGCUGGAGAUACUAUUAGACUUGAGACCGGGAGAGGUUAGAGGUACUCCCAGGGUAGAGGUAAAAUUCUGUAAUACUGGGAGGACCGCCUGUUGCGAAGGCGUCUAACUGGAACGGUUCUGACGGUGAGGGACGAAAGUUAGGGGCGCGAACCGGAUUAGAUACCCUGGUAGUCCCUGAGCGGGCUGGCAAGG
This 293-nucleotide ribosomal RNA is filed under the name uncultured prokaryote. RNAcentral's name for it is "partial 16S ribosomal RNA". It matches the Rfam family "Archaeal small subunit ribosomal RNA", at positions 474 to 771 of the family's 1478-position model. The record is from RNAcentral.